AGAGCGAACGCUGGCGGCAGGCCUAACACAUGCAAGUCGAGCGCCCGUAGCAAUACGGGAGCGGCAGACGGGAUAGUAACACGUGGGAACGCGCCCUUCGGUUCGGAAUAACUCAGGGAAACUUGAGCUAAUACCGGAUACGCCCUUACGGGGAAAGAUUUAUUGCCGAAGGAACGGCCCGCGUCCGAUUAGCUAGUUGGUGAGGUAAUGGCUCACCAAGGCUACGAUCGGUAGCUGGUCUGAGAGGAUGACCAGCAUCACUGGGACUGAGACACGGCCCAGACUCCUACGGGAGGCAGCAGUGGGGAAUAUUGGACAAUGGGCGCAAGCCUGAUCCAGCCAUGCCGCGUGGAUGAUGAAGGCCUUAGGGUUGUAAAGUCCUUUUAACGGGGAAGAUAAUGACGGUACCCGUAGAAUAAGCCCGGCUAACUUCGCGCCAGCAGCCGC
RNAcentral lists this ribosomal RNA (447 nucleotides) under uncultured bacterium. RNAcentral's name for it is "SSU rRNA". It matches the Rfam family "Bacterial small subunit ribosomal RNA", at positions 26 to 518 of the family's 1533-position model. The record is from RNAcentral.